ACGCUCGACACCUACGGGAGGCUGCAGUGGGGAAUAUUGCACAAUGGGGGAAACCCUGAUGCAGCGACGCCGCGUGAGCGAAGAAGUAUUUCGGUAUGUAAAGCUCUAUCAGCAGGGAAGAAACUGACGGUACCUGACUAAGAAGCACCGGCUAAAUACGUGCCAGCAGCCGCGGUAAUCUGAGCGGGCUGGCAAGGC
Molecule: ribosomal RNA, 198 nt
Filed under: uncultured bacterium
Lineage: Bacteria
Description: partial 16S ribosomal RNA
Rfam family: Bacterial small subunit ribosomal RNA
Source: RNAcentral